This 72-nucleotide transfer RNA is filed under the name Alloalcanivorax dieselolei. Its description in RNAcentral is "tRNA-Val". Lineage: Bacteria; Pseudomonadati; Pseudomonadota; Gammaproteobacteria; Oceanospirillales; Alcanivoracaceae. The record is from RNAcentral.
CCUGUAAUGCCGUGCUGUUCGAUGAAGCGGCGUUGACCUCGCCGCUGCCCGGUGCCUAUCCGGAUUAUAGGC